This is an RNA transcript of Physcomitrium patens, 2020 nucleotides long. It is a transcript of the gene named gamma-soluble NSF attachment protein, with no coding region annotated. The record is from RefSeq and is a predicted model, not a curated record. Lineage: Eukaryota; Viridiplantae; Streptophyta; Bryopsida; Funariales; Funariaceae.
UCCCCUUCUAAGGCGGCGCUAACUUCCUCCUCCUCGGGGCACUUGCGUAUCGACCCUUUUCUUGUGUGCUCUGAUGUGCUGUCUACUACUGUGUGUAGUGGCCUGCCCUGCCCCUGCCCUGCUCUUGAUGCAGCUCCACCCCCCUCUCCCUCCGUGCUCGCUCCUCUCCUUCUCCAUCUCUUGCGUUUCGCUUGCCUUCUCCACGCUCUCCUGCUUAGCACCAUGGCUGACUCCCUUAAGCACUCUGCCUCCUCCUCCUCCUCCGCGCUGUCGUCUCAACAUCCUCGCCUGCUCCAAGCCCAUGACCUCCUCCGCAAAGCCGAAAAGCUGUGAUUUCCUCACCCCUGCCCUUCCCCUCUGCCUCUUCCUGCCUCUCCCCUUGCCUGUACUCACUUCGUGUUAUUCUCGCUUGUCUGCUUUCGCAGGACUAAACUUAGCCUCUUCAAUUGGUCGUCUGACUGGGUCGCCGCGACACCCCUAUACGAGCAAGCAGCAACUGCAUUUAAGUUGGCAAAAGUACCCGAUACAGCGAAGUUAUGCUACGAAAAAGCUGCUACAGGUCAAGAAAGACUAUCAUCAUUGUGCCAGACCGUGGACUGCAGGAAAGCACAUGGAGUCGGCAGGUCAACUAGCUAAAGAGCUUGGUCUUAUUGAUGAAGCCGUUGAUUCAUACAGAAGAGCUAGCGAGCUUUUUCUGCAUUGCGGGAAAGUACAGCCAAGUGCUGAUGUGCUUAGCAGAGGGCAGUGGAAGAUGAGAGGUCGGAAAUUGCAGUCAGGAUGUACUUGGAUGCUUGUGCGAUGCUUGAGGAAGAUGGUCGCGAACAGAUGGCCUUCGAUAAUUACCGCGCAGCAGUCAAUCUCUACGUCAAGCUCAACAGGUUUAAAGACGCGGCAGCAGUGCUUGUUAGAUGGGGCCAGUCAGCUGAUAAAUGUCAUGCCACUCAGAGCCAGUGCAAAGCAUACCUUAGUGCAGUCAUUGUUCACUUAUAUGACGAAGAUCUGAAGCAAGCACAACAGUGCUACAACGAUUGUUCUCAGGUUAAUGCGUUUUCCAGAAGUGACCAGAGCGAAACUGCUGAAAAGCUUUUAUCAGCAUAUUGUGAGGGAAACCCAGAUGAAAUAAGGCAUGUUGUGAGCUCAAGUCAUAUCAUUACUCAUUUAGAUCACACGAUUGUAAGGUUGGCUAAGCAGUUGCCAAAGGGUGAUGUUAAAGCUGCAAGUGUCGUGGAACCAGGUGAUGACGAGUUGAAUGAAGAGGAUCUGACAUAAGGUCAGUUUCAUCGAGCCCUAACAUAAGCAAAUUUUCAAGCACCGGUUUCAGUAGUUCGUGAGAUGUGGUUCUUUUGGGUUUAUUGUGCAACUGUACCGAACAAGUAUUUAAUUGUGACAAGAAAUGUGCCAUCAUCGUACCAUUAGAAUUUCGUUGUCUAGUUUUAAAAAACUUAUUUUUCCUUCGUGUAGAACCUAAUCAGCUUCUUAAAGCAUUCUUUGGUGAAACAUCUUUGUGAAGUGUCGCGUCCCCUUUUGCAGCAUGGUUUGAAGUCUGCUAAUGUAUUUCUCGAGUCUUGCAUUUGUGAUAGCUUGACCUCAAGAAGACCGUGCUUUUUCUACAACAUCAAUGUAAGGACCUAUUCUCUGACCGUCCAUUUAAUUAUGCAUGAUAUACCUCAAGGAAAAAUAUCCAAUCCAGAAUAGCACAGAAUCAAGGAGACUUCUUUCAAAUAGCAGUAUCAGUGCGGCAAGGCUGUCGAUUGGAUAUGCACUUUAUUCACUCGAAAUCUUUCGUUACUACAAGUUUUGAAAUCAAAAGUGUCGGGGCACCUUGGUAACAGCCAAUUCCACGAACCAGAGAAUGUAGCAUCUUCCUCUUAUGUUGAGGAAAUACAUAUUUUGAUGUACUUGCUGUGGUCGUAUUUACAUCUCGGCUUAGUUAUUCUUUUGAACUGGGAUACCUAUAUGUUUUUUGCGAGGAGCAGUUCAUUGAAUUUCUGUGAUAUAAAAUUUCAAGCGUGUACAAUGA